UGCAUUUCAUAAGGUAGAGGAGGACGGUCUUCCUGAGGCCAGAACAGACUUCAGGGGACCAUGCAUACCAUACUCCGCUCCAGCCUAACUGCCUUUGGAAAAGGCCAGAACAAAAGGCUUGAAUCAAGAAUCAUUCAGGAACAGAAAUUUCAGGGGCUGUGGAGAACUGGAACAAUGGUGGAGAUCAAGCUGGGAGUCAGAAGCCCGUGGUUCAUGAGGUGCCUCAUUCUGGAGUGGAGAGGAAACCAUUUUUUGAGGGGGAAGCAAAUAAGAAAAAAAUUCUGUUCUUGUGAAAGACUUAAUGAGGGAAAAAGCAGAGGAUGGAAAGCCCUAAUCUGACCUUCAAACAAAAAAGUCCUUUGAAAAUAAUGAAGCCAUCUGACUGGUAAUCAAGAAGAGCUACCAGAGAAGUCAUAGUUUCUUCAAAAACAAACAAUAGACGAAAAAGGUUAAUUGAUGAAAUUCAAGCAAUCUGGCUCCUUGACUUGACAAAGAGUUUAAAGGCUGGAUGUGAAUGAGUAUAAUUGCUUCCCACUGUGACUCCCCCAAAGUACGCACACUCAAGUAAAAUUUGCAAAUUUUUUUUGCAAAGGGCUACUGUUAAAUCCCAAAGAAAUAUUCUUAAUGAGUUUGGUUUUUGUUUUGUUUCUUUUUUUUUUUUUUUUUUUUGCCUUUGUGAUUCAGAAAACACAGGAGGUGAAAAUGUCAAGUUCCCGAAAAGAGACUAUUUUUUCCUUAAAUGUAUGAACUUAAGUUUCAUACAAGAGCUAAAAUUGUAAUCUAUGUUGAAUUAUAAAAAGCUGUGUUGUUGUGCUUGAGCCCACGGGUGGAUCUGAAGUUUUAAAGAGAAAUUGUUAACACAAAUGUUCAUCAAUUUUUUUUUUUUUUUUUUUCAGUACGAGAUAGAGGAUGUUUUAUUGGCCUAGGGAAUUUGUGGGAGGUUUAGGUACUGGGCGCUGGGCCAGGGUGGCCCGAGCCAUGCUCAAGGCACCUUCUCGGGUGUGGUGCCCACCAAUGAAUCCGCUGGUGUGGACAAAGAUGCAGCCAGGAAUCCCACUGACCUGGUCCAGGGCCUCAUCCCGAAGACCCCACCAUGGCUCUGGCAGGGGCAGCUGGCUCUGGAAUGAAUGGGGCUCCUUGGGCACACACUGUAUCCGCCACUGUCCAGCCUGGUCAGUGUAGAUAACAAAGGUGAUGGUGCCCUGUGGGGACAGCCCAGAUUCCAGGUGGUAGAGGUGCUCCUUCCAGAGGCAUCCACCUUUUGCCAGUUCUACUAUCUCCCCACUUGGGUCCACCUGGAAUCGCCGGGCCAGGGCUUCUACCACCAAGGCCCGGGCUGGCAGCCAGCUGUGUUGGUAGAAGGGUAGUCUCUGCAGAAACCCCUCUCGGACUAGGUCCAUGGCGCGCUUGAACCCGGCCUCAGUGUCUUGGUCAGGCUGGUUCCAGGUCGGAUUAAGUCGAGCAACCCUAGCACUCAGUGUGGUAGUCAACACAUACCUGGACUGGGGCACCUGGGUGGCUCAGUGGGUAAAGCCUCUGCCUUCAGCUCAAGUCAUGAUCCCAGGGUCCUGGGAUCGAGCCCCGCAGCCUGCUUCCUCCUCUCUCUGCCUGCUUCUCUGUCCACUUGUGAUCUCCGUCUGUCAAAUAAAUAAAUAAAAAUCUUUAAAAAAAAGUACUCAAGAACUGAUUAGGAAUAUUGCAAGCAAAGGAAUUUUCCCAAAAUAAUGAGAAGAUAGCCUUCUAUGCAGAGCACUGCAUGGACAACAGCAUAAAAGGGGGUCAAAAGUGGUAAAAGUGGGGCAUUCAGG
This is a long non-coding RNA of Mustela putorius furo (domestic ferret), 1808 nucleotides long. The record is from Ensembl. Lineage: Eukaryota; Metazoa; Chordata; Mammalia; Carnivora; Mustelidae.